UACAGAGGGUGCAAACGUUGCUCGGAAUUAUUGGGCGUAAAGCGCAUGUAGGCGGCCUGUUAAGUCGAUUGUGAAAGCCCAUGGCUCAACCAUGGAAGUGCGGUCGAUACUGGCAGGCUAGAGUUCUGACGAGGAUGGUGGAAUUCCCAGUGUAGAGGUGAAAUUCGUAGAUAUUGGGAGGAACACCGGUGGCGAAGGCGGCCAUCUGGGAAGAUACUGACGCUGAGAUGCGAAAGCGUGGGGAGCAAACAGG
Molecule: unclassified non-coding RNA, 253 nt
Filed under: Pseudomonadota bacterium
Lineage: Bacteria; Pseudomonadati; Pseudomonadota
Also listed under: 1 other name
Description: partial 16S ribosomal RNA
Rfam family: Bacterial small subunit ribosomal RNA
Source: RNAcentral